UUCCGGUUGAUCCUGCCGGAGGUUACUGCUAUCGGAGUUCGAUUAAGCCAUGCGAGUCUAAAGGUUUCUUCGGAAACCUUGGCGGACUGCUCAGUAACACGUGGAUAACCUACCCUUGGGACUGGGAUAACCCCGGGAAACUGGGGAUAAUACCGGAUAGAUCAGGGAUGCUGGAAUGCGCCUUGAUCCAAAGCUCCGGCGCCCAAGGAUGGGUCUGCGGCCUAUCAGGUUGUAGUGGGUGUAACGUACCUACUAGCCGACGACGGGUACGGGUUGUGAGAGCAAGAGCCCGGAGAUGGAUUCUGAGACACGAAUCCAGGCCCUACGGGGUGCAGCAGGCGCGAAACCUUUACAAUGUGCGAAAGCAUGAUAAGGGAACUCCGAGUGCCAGCAUCUAAUGCUGGCUGUCCUUGUGCCUAAAACGCACAAGAUAGCAAGGGCCGGGUAAGACCGGUGCCAGCCGCCGCGGUAACACCGGCGGCCCGAGUGGUAGCCGCUAUUAUUGGGUCUAAAGGGUCCGUAGCCGGUUCGAUAAGUCCUCUGGGAAAUCUGGUUGCUUAACAAUCAGACUGCCAAGGGAUACUGUCGAACUUGAGACCGGGAGAGGUAAGAGGUACUUCAGGGGUAGGAGUGAAAUCUUGUAAUCCCUGGGGGACCAUCUGUGGCGAAGGCGUCUUACCAGAACGGGUCUGACGGUGAGGGACGAAAGCUGGGGGCGCAAACCGGAUUAGAUACCCGGGUAGUCCCAGCCGUAAACGAUGCUCGCUAUGUGUCAGGUACGGUGUGACCGUAUCUGGUGCCGUAGGGAAGCCGUGAAGCGAGCCACCUGGGAAGUACGGUCGCAAGACUGAAACUUAAAGGAAUUGGCGGGGGAGCACUACAACGGGUGGAGCCUGCGGUUUAAUUGGAUUCAACGCCGGAAA
This 923-nucleotide ribosomal RNA is filed under the name uncultured archaeon. Its description in RNAcentral is "bacterial SSU rRNA". It matches the Rfam family "Archaeal small subunit ribosomal RNA", at positions 1 to 924 of the family's 1478-position model. The record is from RNAcentral.